RNAcentral lists this ribosomal RNA (253 nucleotides) under uncultured bacterium. RNAcentral describes it as "partial 16S ribosomal RNA". It matches the Rfam family "Bacterial small subunit ribosomal RNA", at positions 524 to 776 of the family's 1533-position model. The record is from RNAcentral.
GACGAGCCUCACAAACGUUAUUCGGAAUUACUGGGCUUAAAGGGUGCGUAGGCGGCGUAGAAAGUUGGGUGUGAAAUCCCUCGGCUCAACCGAGGAACUGCGCCCAAAACUACUAUGCUCGAGGGAGAUAGAGGAAUGCGGAACUUAGGGUGGAGCGGUGAAAUGCGUUGAUAUCCUAGGGAACACCGGUGGCGAAAGCGGCAUUCUGGAUCUCUUCUGACGCUGAGGCACGAAAGCUAGGGUAGCAAACGGG